ACGAACGCUGGCGGCAUGCCUAACACAUGCAAGUCGAACGAGACCUUCGGGUCUAGUGGCGCACGGGUGCGUAACGCGUGGGAACCUGCCCUUAGGUUCGGAAUAACUCCCCGCAAGGGGUGCUAAUACCGGAUAAUGUCUUCGGACCAAAGAUUUAUCGCCUUUGGAUGGGCCCGCGUUGGAUUAGCUAGUUGGUAGGGUAAAAGCCUACCAAGGCGACGAUCCAUAGCUGGUCUGAGAGGAUGAUCAGCCACACUGGGACUGAGACACGGCCCAGACUCCUACGGGAGGCAGCAGUGGGGAAUAUUGGACAAUGGGCGAAAGCCUGAUCCAGCAAUGCCGCGUGAGUGAUGAAGGCCUUAGGGUUGUAAAGCUCUUUUACCCGGGAUGAUAAUGACAGUACCGGGAGAAUAAGCUCCGGCUAACUCCGUG
Molecule: ribosomal RNA, 432 nt
Filed under: uncultured bacterium
Lineage: Bacteria
Description: partial 16S ribosomal RNA
Rfam family: Bacterial small subunit ribosomal RNA
Source: RNAcentral